Molecule: long non-coding RNA, 560 nt
Filed under: Homo sapiens (human)
Lineage: Eukaryota; Metazoa; Chordata; Mammalia; Primates; Hominidae
Description: novel transcript, antisense to ASB15
Source: RNAcentral
AGAGUACCUUUUUUUUUUUUUUUUUUAAGUGCUCACUUGAAUGAUCAUGUUUUGUUUUCACUCCCACACUCUCACAAUGCCCAAGAAGGGCAAAUAGUAAAAUGAUGCUGUUAUUUGAUAAAUUAAUUACUGAUGAUAGACUCGUUUUGAAUUCAAAGUGUUAGGAAUUUAAUGGAGUUUCUCCUUAGUGGCUUACAGAUCUCCCAUACCCUUCUACUAUCUAGUAAGUAUCAUGUCCUCUGAACGGUGUUCAUGCCCUGAGCAACAUUCAUGCUCUCAGAGAAACACCUCCUCCUCCGCAAAGAGCUGAAGGAGGUUGGUGGGACACAGAUACCACCUGAAUUAUCCGUAAAUACAAGCCAUUUUUAAGUGGAAGACAGUUCUACUGCAACAAGCUGAAGAAAGCCAGCACCAUCUAGUGGAAGGAGAGUCACACAGGAAUGGACGCCUGUUGGUUUGGUUUCCUGUUCUGUAUUUUGAACUCUUUGCUGAGACUUAGGUGUGCAUUGUUAAUAUUGGUCUCUUUUCAUAAUAGACUUAACCGAACGGUCUCUGACCAA